UACGAAGGGGGCUAGCGUUGUUCGGAUUUACUGGGCGUAAAGCGCGUGUAGGCGGGUCGUUAAGUUGGGGGUGAAAUCCCGGAGCUCAACUCCGGAACUGCCUCCAAAACUGGCGACCUGGAGCAGAGGAGAGGCGAGUGGAAUUCCGAGUGUAGAGGUGAAAUUCGUAGAUAUUCGGAGGAACACCCGUGGCGAAGGUGACUCGCUGGACUCUUGCUGACGUUGAGACGCGAAAGCGUGGGGAGCAAACAGG
Molecule: ribosomal RNA, 253 nt
Filed under: uncultured bacterium
Lineage: Bacteria
Description: partial 16S ribosomal RNA
Rfam family: Bacterial small subunit ribosomal RNA
Source: RNAcentral